Cricetulus griseus (Chinese hamster) is the source of this 71-nucleotide non-coding RNA. The record is from Rfam. NCBI's taxonomy places the organism in Eukaryota, Metazoa, Chordata, Mammalia, Rodentia, Cricetidae.
UAGAUUGAAGCCAGUCAUUGGAUGUUUAGCUGUUAACUGAAGUUUCGUAGGUUUAAAUCCUAUCAAUCUAG